This 1527-nucleotide ribosomal RNA is filed under the name Enterobacter cloacae. RNAcentral describes it as "bacterial SSU rRNA". It matches the Rfam family "Bacterial small subunit ribosomal RNA". RNAcentral also lists the same sequence under 1 other name. Lineage: Bacteria; Pseudomonadati; Pseudomonadota; Gammaproteobacteria; Enterobacterales; Enterobacteriaceae. The record is from RNAcentral.
AGAGUUUGAUCAUGGCUCAGAUUGAACGCUGGCGGCAGGCCUAACACAUGCAAGUCGAACGGUAGCACAGAGAGCUUGCUCUCGGGUGACGAGUGGCGGACGGGUGAGUAAUGUCUGGGAAACUGCCUGAUGGAGGGGGAUAACUACUGGAAACGGUAGCUAAUACCGCAUAACGUCGCAAGACCAAAGAGGGGGACCUUCGGGCCUCUUGCCAUCAGAUGUGCCCAGAUGGGAUUAGCUAGUAGGUGGGGUAACGGCUCACCUAGGCGACGAUCCCUAGCUGGUCUGAGAGGAUGACCAGCCACACUGGAACUGAGACACGGUCCAGACUCCUACGGGAGGCAGCAGUGGGGAAUAUUGCACAAUGGGCGCAAGCCUGAUGCAGCCAUGCCGCGUGUAUGAAGAAGGCCUUCGGGUUGUAAAGUACUUUCAGCGGGGAGGAAGGUGUUGUGGUUAAUAACCGCAGCAAUUGACGUUACCCGCAGAAGAAGCACCGGCUAACUCCGUGCCAGCAGCCGCGGUAAUACGGAGGGUGCAAGCGUUAAUCGGAAUUACUGGGCGUAAAGCGCACGCAGGCGGUCUGUCAAGUCGGAUGUGAAAUCCCCGGGCUCAACCUGGGAACUGCAUUCGAAACUGGCAGGCUAGAGUCUUGUAGAGGGGGGUAGAAUUCCAGGUGUAGCGGUGAAAUGCGUAGAGAUCUGGAGGAAUACCGGUGGCGAAGGCGGCCCCCUGGACAAAGACUGACGCUCAGGUGCGAAAGCGUGGGGAGCAAACAGGAUUAGAUACCCUGGUAGUCCACGCCGUAAACGAUGUCGACUUGGAGGUUGUGCCCUUGAGGCGUGGCUUCCGGAGCUAACGCGUUAAGUCGACCGCCUGGGGAGUACGGCCGCAAGGUUAAAACUCAAAUGAAUUGACGGGGGCCCGCACAAGCGGUGGAGCAUGUGGUUUAAUUCGAUGCAACGCGAAGAACCUUACCUACUCUUGACAUCCAGAGAACUUUCCAGAGAUGGAUUGGUGCCUUCGGGAACUCUGAGACAGGUGCUGCAUGGCUGUCGUCAGCUCGUGUUGUGAAAUGUUGGGUUAAGUCCCGCAACGAGCGCAACCCUUAUCCUUUGUUGCCAGCGGUCCGGCCGGGAACUCAAAGGAGACUGCCAGUGAUAAACUGGAGGAAGGUGGGGAUGACGUCAAGUCAUCAUGGCCCUUACGAGUAGGGCUACACACGUGCUACAAUGGCGCAUACAAAGAGAAGCGAACUCGCGAGAGCAAGCGGACCUCAUAAAGUGCGUCGUAGUCCGGAUUGGAGUCUGCAACUCGACUCCAUGAAGUCGGAAUCGCUAGUAAUCGUAGAUCAGAAUGCUACGGUGAAUACGUUCCCGGGCCUUGUACACACCGCCCGUCACACCAUGGGAGUGGGUUGCAAAAGAAGUAGGUAGCUUAACCUUCGGGAGGGCGCUUACCACUUUGUGAUUCAUGACUGGGGUGAAGUCGUAACAAGGUAACCGUAGGGGAACCUGCGGUUGGAUCACC